UUGAACGCUGGCGGCAUGCCUUACACAUGCAAGUCGAACGGUAACGGGCCUUCGGGUGCCGACGAGUGGCGAACGGGUGAGUAAUACAUCGGAACGUGCCCGAUCGUGGGGGAUAACGAGGCGAAAGCUUUGCUAAUACCGCAUACGAUCUACGGAUGAAAGCAGGGGACCGCAAGGCCUUGCGCGGACGGAGCGGCCGAUGGCAGAUUAGGUAGUUGGUGGGAUAAAAGCUUACCAAGCCGACGAUCUGUAGCUGGUCUGAGAGGAUGAUCAGCCACACUGGGACUGAGACACGGCCCAGACUCCUACGGGAGGCAGCAGUGGGGAAUUUUGCACAAUGGGCGCAAGCCUGAUCCAGCCAUGCCGCGUGCAGGAUGAAGGCCUUCGGGUUGUAAACUGCUUUUGUACGGAACGAAAAGCCUUCUUUUAAUACAGGAGGGUCAUGACGGUACCGUAAGAAUAAGCACCGGCUAACUACGUG
Molecule: ribosomal RNA, 481 nt
Filed under: uncultured bacterium
Lineage: Bacteria
Description: partial 16S ribosomal RNA
Rfam family: Bacterial small subunit ribosomal RNA
Source: RNAcentral